GAUUUCAAUUGAAAAAGUCAUCAACAACGAAGUUGUAUAACUCAUCAAGAUCUAUAACUUUUAUUUUGGUCGUUUCUUCAUCCGACAAAGUGAUAGUAAUAUUGUUUACAAAAUUUACAUCUGUCUCAUCUGGUUCUAUAAACUAUAAGAGAGAUAUGUAAACUUUGUGAACAAUGUUACUAUCACUUUAUCGGAUGAAGAAAUGGCCAAAAUAAAAGUUGUAUGUCUUGAUGAGCUCUACAACUUUUAUGUUCAUGACUUUUUCAGCUGAAAUU
Molecule: microRNA precursor, 275 nt
Filed under: Oryza barthii
Lineage: Eukaryota; Viridiplantae; Streptophyta; Magnoliopsida; Poales; Poaceae
Description: MIR821 microRNA precursor family
Rfam family: MIR821 microRNA precursor family
Source: Rfam by way of RNAcentral